AUGGAGGGUUUGAUCCUGGCUCAGGGCUAACGCUGGCGGCGUGUCUUAGCCAUGCAAGUCGAGCGGGCCUGUGGGGUUUACCUGCAGGUCAGCGGCGGACGGCGGAGUAACACGUAGCUAACCUACCCCCUGGACGGGGAUAACCACCCGAAAGGGUGGCUAAUACCCGAUGGAGUCCCUAUCUGAGAUGGUAGGGAUGAAAGGUGGGCCUCUGCGUGAGCAAGCUCAUGCCAGGGGAGGGGGCUGCGGCCUAUCAGGUAGUUGGUGGGGUAAUGGCCCACCAAGCCUAUGACGGGUAGCCGGCCUGAGAGGGUGACCGGCCCGAGGGGCACUGAGACACGGGCCCCACUCCUACGGGAGGCAGCAGGCUAGAAAAUUGGGCAAUGGGGGAAACCCUGACCCAGUGACGCCGCGUGCAGGAAGAAGCCCUUCGGGGUGUAAACUGCUGUCGUGCGGGACGAAGGGCCCAUAGGUGAAGAAUCUAUGGGCUUGACGGUACCGCAGGAGGAAGCCCAGGCUAACCUCGUGCCAGCAGCCGCGGUAAUACGGGGUGGGCGAGCGUUGCCCGGAAUUACUGGGUUUAAAGGGGGUGUAGGCGGUCCGGAGAGUCAGGUGUGUAAUCCAACCGCUCAACGGUUGGGCUGCACCUGAUACUUCCGGGCUAGAGGGCGGUAGAGGAGAGCGGAACUCCCGGUGUAGCGGUGAAAUGCGUAGAUAUCGGGAGGAACGCCGGUGGCGAAGGCGGCUCUCUGGGCCGUUCCUGACGCUGAGGCCCGAAAGCUGGGGGAGCGAAAGGGAUUAGAUACCCCUGUAGUCCCAGCCGUAAACGAUGGGCACUAGGUGUUCCCCCGGAAGGGGGAGUGCCGACGGGAAACCAUUAAGUGCCCCACCUGGGGAGUACGCCCGCAAGGGUGAAACUCAAAGGAAUUGACGGGGGCCCGCACAAGCGGUGGAGCGCGUGGUUUAAUUCGACGCUAAGCGAAGAACCUUACCUGGGCUUGACAUGCUGGUGGUACCCUGGUGGAAACACUGGGGGACUCCCCGUUGAGGGGAGAGCCAGCACAGGUGCUGCACGGCUGUCGUCAGCUCGUGCCGUGAGGUGUUGGGUUAAGUCCCGCAACGAGCGCAACCCCUGCCCUUAGUUGCCACAGCACCCACGAGGUGGCUGGGCACUCUAAGGGGACUGCCGCCGAUGAGGCGGAGGAAGGUGGGGAUGACGUCAAGUCCGUGUGGCCUUUAUGUCCAGGGCUACACACGCGCUACAAUGGGUGGUACAAUGGGCUUUGCGACCCCGCGAGGGGAAGCGAAUCCCUUAAAACCACCCCCAGUUCGGAUUGGGGUCUGCAACCCGACCCCAUGAAGACGGAAUCGCUAGUAAUCGCCUAUCAGCAUGGGGCGGUGAAUACGUUCCCGGGCCUUGUACACACCGCCCGUCACGCCAUGGGAGCCGGGGGCACCUGAAGUCGCUGGCCCAACCCCGCAAGGGGAGGGAGGCGCCUAGGGUGAAACCGGUGACUGGGGCGAAGUCGUAACAAGGUAGCCGUACGGGAACGUGCGGCUGGAUCACCUCCUUUAAA
Molecule: ribosomal RNA, 1577 nt
Filed under: Caldifarciminota bacterium
Lineage: Bacteria; Pseudomonadati; Caldifarciminota
Description: bacterial SSU rRNA
Rfam family: Bacterial small subunit ribosomal RNA
Source: RNAcentral